Molecule: ribosomal RNA, 440 nt
Filed under: uncultured bacterium
Lineage: Bacteria
Description: partial 16S ribosomal RNA
Rfam family: Bacterial small subunit ribosomal RNA
Source: RNAcentral
CCUACGGGUGGCAGCAGUGGGGGAUAUUGCACAAUGGGGGGAACCCUGAUGCAGCGACGCCGCGUGGGUGAAGGAGCGUUUCGGCGCGUAAAGCUCCAUUGGCAGGGAAGAAGAUGACGGUACCUGACCAAGAAGCCCCGGCUAACUACGUGACAGCAGCCGCGGUAAUAUGUAGGGGGCAGGCGUUAUCCGGAUUUACUGGGUGUAAAGGGGGCGCAGACGGCAAUGCAAGCCAGGAGUGAAAGCCCGGGGCCCAACCUCGGGACUGCUCUUGGAACUGCAUGGCUGGAGUGCAGGAGGGGCAGGCGGAAUUCGUGGUGUAGCGGUGAAAUGCGUAGAUAUUAGGAGGAACACCGAUGGCGAAGGCAGCCUGCGGGACUGUAACUGACGUUGAGGCUCGAAGGCGUGGGGAGCGAACAGGAUUAGAUACCCGAGUAGUC